Molecule: ribosomal RNA, 484 nt
Filed under: uncultured bacterium
Lineage: Bacteria
Description: partial 16S ribosomal RNA
Rfam family: Bacterial small subunit ribosomal RNA
Source: RNAcentral
AUUGAACGCUGGCGGCAGGCCUAACACAUGCAAGUCGAGCGGAUGAAGGGAGCUUGCUCCUGGAUUCAGCGGCGGACGGGUGAGUAAUGCCUAGGAAUCUGCCUGGUAGUGGGGGAUAACGUCCGGAAACGGGCGCUAAUACCGCAUACGUCCUGAGGGAGAAAGUGGGGGAUCUUCGGACCUCACGCUAUCAGAUGAGCCUAGGUCGGAUUAGCUAGUUGGUGGGGUAAAGGCCUACCAAGGCGACGAUCCGUAACUGGUCUGAGAGGAUGAUCAGUCACACUGGAACUGAGUCACGGUCCAGACUCCUACGGGAGGCAGCAGUGGGGAAUAUUGGACGAUGGGCGAAAGCCUGAUCCAGCCAUGCCGCGUGUGUGAAGAAGGUCUUCGGAUUGUAAAGCACUUUAAGUUGGGAGGAAGGGCAGUAAGUUAAUACCUUGCUGUUUUGACGUUACCAACAGAAUAAGCACCGGCUCACUUCGUG